Molecule: ribosomal RNA, 401 nt
Filed under: uncultured bacterium
Lineage: Bacteria
Description: bacterial SSU rRNA
Rfam family: Bacterial small subunit ribosomal RNA
Source: RNAcentral
CUGGCCUUGACAUGCAGAGAACUUUCCAGAGAUGGAUUGGUGCCUUCGGGAACUCUGACACAGGUGCUGCAUGGCUGUCGUCAGCUCGUGUUGUGAAAUGUUGGGUUAAGUCCCGUAACGAGCGCAACCCUUGUCCUUAGUUACCAGCACGUUAUGGUGGGCACUCUAAGGAGACUGCCGGUGACAAACCGGAGGAAGGUGGGGAUGACGUCAAGUCAUCAUGGCCCUUACGGCCAGGGCUACACACGUGCUACAAUGGUCGGUACAGAGGGUUGCCAAGCCGCGAGGUGGAGCUAAUCCCAUAAAGUGCGUCGUAGUCCGGAUUGGAGUCUGCAACUCGACUCCAUGAAGUCGGAAUCGCUAGUAAUCGUGGAUCAGAAUGCCACGGUGAAUACGUUCCC